Molecule: small nuclear RNA, 191 nt
Organism: Dermacentor andersoni
Lineage: Eukaryota; Metazoa; Arthropoda; Arachnida; Ixodida; Ixodidae
Product: U2 spliceosomal RNA
Source: RefSeq, a predicted model, not a curated record
ACAUAUUUUUGAUAUAUUGUAAAUAGCAUAGUAAAAAAUCUGUUCUUAUCAGCUUAAUAUCUGAUACGGGUUCUAUAUGGACCCACGAUAUGAAAGCUAUUUUUGGAAGUUGGCGGUGAGCUUGAAGCCUGCUUCACCUCCGCCGCAGGUCGGCCCCGUAUUGCACUACCUCCGGGAUCGGGUCCCGCUCA